AACAGGCCAGGGUGUGUGUUGUGUCCCCUGUUGUGUGCAUGAUGCAGGCUGACCUUCCUCCAUCCUUGUCUUUAAAAAAUCAGGUUGCAGACAGAAAACUGAAAGCGCUGCUGAAUGGCUCGACACCAACUUGGGUCGAUUCUCCUCUUUAGCCAGUUACUCAGACCUCAAGUCCCUGAACAUUAGCAUGGUAACGUACCAUCUUUUUCUUAUCUUUCCUUUCUACAGUUUUGUUGUUGUUGUUUGUUUGCUUGGUUUAGGUCAGGCACCAAAGCACUGGCGGUCUUGCAUAAUGUCCUCUGGUGUUGUGUUUUUGCUUUGUUCAUCUUAGUUGGCAGCUCUGGGAUCCCUAGCACCCGAUCAGAAAGCAGAGCUACUGUUGGAUCCAUCCACCGAUGCUCUAGACAAUGUCACCGUGGUACAGGAGGUGUUGACCAGCAUACUGACGUCUCCAGAUGAGAAACAACUUGAGAUGUUUUUUGAAACAUUUGUGAAAGUCAGCAAAGUGGUGAGUAAUGUUUGUAGGUAGGUCUUCAGAAUGACUAACCUUUAUGAGCUGAACCGGAUUUUAGAUAUUUAAACAAGCCAACAGCAACCCCUCCUUCCUCCACCCCUUCAGGAAAGUAUAACCUACAUCGAAAAUGUGGCUGUCCGAGACACAAUGCUGAAUCUGACCAUGACUGCCCUGGCUCCCAAACUUCCCCUAUUUGAAACAAGCGACUAUGAGCUGUGGUUCCAAACCAAUCUGGUGGUCCUGCUGGCCAGCUUCAGUCCUACAGUGCUGGAAGUCAUCCCUGCCAACAUCACAUGCGAAUCUUACCAAGCAAUGUGAGCAAACCAGCCCCCUUGGCUUUAAUUUCUCAAUCGUUCUGUAGAAAUAAAAGUGGAGAUUGAGCAAUGUUGUUUGUUUUGACAGACUGGAAGGCAUGAAGAUAGCUUUGGCAGAUCUUCCGUCAGGAGUUGGAGUAGAGCUAAAUUCAAGUGUAGACACACUUCAACAUUCACCACCAAAAGCCUGCACGACUCCACCACCCACCACACCCCCCACAGUGCCCCCCACCAUGCCAUCCACCACACCGUCCCCAGUACCACCCACUGCACCACCGACCGUGUCCCCCACCGCUGUUGUAAGUACUUCAUCUGGUGGCAUUAUGCCCAAGAUAAGCUCUUCCUAAUUCUUUUCUCUAAUUUUUG
RNAcentral lists this long non-coding RNA (1194 nucleotides) under Danio rerio (zebrafish). RNAcentral describes it as "lncRNA (ENSDARG00000117457.1)". The record is from RNAcentral. Lineage: Eukaryota; Metazoa; Chordata; Actinopteri; Cypriniformes; Danionidae.